Molecule: ribosomal RNA, 415 nt
Filed under: uncultured microorganism
Description: bacterial SSU rRNA
Rfam family: Archaeal small subunit ribosomal RNA
Source: RNAcentral
UCCGCCGCCGCGGUAAUACCGGCGGCCCGAGUGGCGGUCACUAUUAUUUGGCUUAAAGCGUCCGUAGCCGGGUUGGGAAGUCCUCCGGGAAAUCUGGCCGCUUAACGGUCAGAAUGCCGGAGGAUACUCCCAGCCUAGGGGGCGGGAGAGGCCGAGGGGAUUCCCGGGGGAGGGGUGGAAUCCCAUAAUUCCGGGAGGACCACCUGUGGCGAGGGCGCUCGGCUGGAACGCGGCCGACGGUGAGGGACGAAGGCCAGGGGAGCAAACCGGAUUAGAUACCCGGGUAGUCCUGGCUGUAAACGAUGCGGACUUUGUGUCGGACAAGCUAUGAGCUUGUCCGGUGCCGGAGGGAAACCGUUAAGUCCGCCGCCUGGGGAGUACGGCCGCAAGGCUGAAACUUAAAGGAAUUGGCGGG